AACUAGCCCUGAUUGCAGAGUAAAUCCCGAUUUUUAUCGGGAUUGCAACGGAAAGCAGGAAUAAGG
This 66-nucleotide small RNA is filed under the name Flavobacterium aquatile LMG 4008 = ATCC 11947. Its description in RNAcentral is "Flavobacterium aquatile LMG 4008 Flavo-1 RNA". It matches the Rfam family "Flavo-1 RNA". Lineage: Bacteria; Pseudomonadati; Bacteroidota; Flavobacteriia; Flavobacteriales; Flavobacteriaceae. The record is from Rfam by way of RNAcentral.